UACGGGGGGAGCAAGCGUUGUUCGGAUUUACUGGGCGUAAAGGGCGCGUAGGCGGCACUGCAAGUCAGUUGUGAAAUCUCCGGGCUUAACCCGGAAAGGUCAACUGAUACUGCAGGGCUAGAGUGCAGAAGGGGCAACUGGAAUUCUCGGUGUAGCGGUGAAAUGCGUAGAUAUCGAGAGGAACACCUGCGGCGAAGGCGGGUUGCUGGGCUGACACUGACGCUGAGGCGCGAAAGCGUGGGGAGCAAACAGG
Molecule: ribosomal RNA, 253 nt
Filed under: uncultured bacterium
Lineage: Bacteria
Description: partial 16S ribosomal RNA
Rfam family: Bacterial small subunit ribosomal RNA
Source: RNAcentral